RNAcentral lists this transfer RNA (60 nucleotides) under Agelena silvatica. RNAcentral's name for it is "tRNA-Gly". Lineage: Eukaryota; Metazoa; Arthropoda; Arachnida; Araneae; Agelenidae. The record is from RNAcentral.
GUAUAUUAGUAUAUUAGUACAUUUGAUUUCCAAUUAAAUAGAGGAAAAAUAUUUUUUAUU